UGUAUAAGAGACAGACACAGCACUGUGCAAACACGAAAGUGGACGUAUACGGUGUGACGCCUGCCCGGUGCCGGAAGGUUAAUUGAUGGGGUUAGCGGCAACGCGAAGCUCUUGAUCGAAGCCCCGGUAAACGGCGGCCGU
This 141-nucleotide ribosomal RNA is filed under the name Enterobacter hormaechei subsp. xiangfangensis. RNAcentral describes it as "partial 23S ribosomal RNA". It matches the Rfam family "Bacterial large subunit ribosomal RNA", at positions 1801 to 1937 of the family's 2925-position model. The record is from RNAcentral. Lineage: Bacteria; Pseudomonadati; Pseudomonadota; Gammaproteobacteria; Enterobacterales; Enterobacteriaceae.